CCUACGGGUGGCAGCAGUGGGGAAUAUUGCACAAUGGGCGAAAGCCUGAUGCAGCAACGCCGCGUGAAGGAAGACGGUCUUCGGAUUGUAAACUCCUUUUCUUAGGGAAGAAUAAUGAGCGUAACGUAGCAGCAAGCGACGACUAACAACGAGCCAGCAGCCGCGGUAAUACGAAGGGGGCAAGCGUUAUCCGGAAUUACUGGGGGUAAAGGGAGCGUCGGCGGGAAGCCAAGUCAGCUGUGAAAACUACGGGCUUAACCUGUGGACUGCAGUUGAAGCUGGCUUUCUUGAGUGACGUAGAGGUAGGCGGAAUUCCUGGUGUAGCGGUGAAAUGCGUAGAUAUUCGGAGGAACACCGGUGGCGAAGGCGGCCAACUGGGCUUUAACUGACGCUGAGGCUCGAAAGUGUGGGGAGCAAACAGGAUUAGAUACCCCGGUAGUC
This 441-nucleotide ribosomal RNA is filed under the name uncultured bacterium. Its description in RNAcentral is "partial 16S ribosomal RNA". It matches the Rfam family "Bacterial small subunit ribosomal RNA", at positions 338 to 795 of the family's 1533-position model. The record is from RNAcentral.